Molecule: non-coding RNA, 937 nt
Organism: Oryctolagus cuniculus (rabbit)
Lineage: Eukaryota; Metazoa; Chordata; Mammalia; Lagomorpha; Leporidae
Source: RefSeq, a predicted model, not a curated record
UCAGCCUGGCCCAGCCCUGGCUGUUGGGUUCCGCCAUUCAGAGGGACUUCCUAGUUCUGGCUUCAGCCUGGCCCAGCCCUGGCUGUUGGGUUCCGCCAUUCAGAGGGACUUCCUAGUUUCUGGCUUCAGCCUGGCCCAGCCCUGGCUGUUGGGUUCCGCCAUUCAGAGGGACUUCCUAUUUCUGGCUUCAGCCUGGCCCAGCCCUGGCUGUUGGGUUCCGCCAUUCAGAGGGACUUCCUAGUUCUGGCUUCAGCCUGGCCCAGCCCUGGCUGUUGGGUUCCGCCAUUCAGAGGGACUUCCUAGUUUCUGGCUUCAGCCUGGCCCAGCCCUGGCUGUUGGGUUCCGCCAUUCAGAGGGACUUCCUAGUUCUGGCUUCAGCCUGGCCCAGCCCUGGCUGUUGGGUUCCGCCAUUCAGAGGGACUUCCUAUUUCUGGCUUCAGCCUGGCCCAGCCCUGGCUGUUGGGUUCCGCCAUUCAGAGGGACUUCCUAGUUUCUGGCUUCAGCCUGGCCCAGCCCUGGCUGUUGGGUUCUGCCAUUCAGAGGGACUUCCUAGUUUCCGGCUUCAGCCUGGCCCAGCCCUGGCUGUUGGGUUCCGCCAUUCAGAGGGACUUCCUAGUUUCUGGCUUCAGCCUGGCCCAGCCCUGGCUGUUGGGUUCCGCCAUUCAGAGGGACUUCCUAGUUUCUGGCUUCAGCCUGGCCCAGCCCUGGCUGUUGGGUUCCGCCAUUCAGAGGGACUUCCUAGUUUCUGGCUUCAGCCUGGCCCAGCCCUGGCUGUUGGGUUCUGCCAUUCAGAGGGACUUCCUAGUUUCCGGCUUCAGCCUGGCCCAGCCCUGGCUGUUGGGUUCCAGCAUUCAGAGGGACUUCCUAGUUCUGGCUUCAGCCUGGCCCAGCCCUGGCUGUUGAAGCCAUUUGUGGAGUGAACCAGUUGGUGGAAGAU